Molecule: long non-coding RNA, 730 nt
Organism: Hyposmocoma kahamanoa
Lineage: Eukaryota; Metazoa; Arthropoda; Insecta; Lepidoptera; Cosmopterigidae
Exons: 3
Source: RefSeq, a predicted model, not a curated record
UGUACUCUUCCGAUCUCUACCUCGCAUAUACCACAGAAUGCUGAAACUGCUAUGCGACCACAUUUAUUAUUUUAUAAUUUCAUAGCCAUGAUUUGUUGUUUGUGUUGUUUGUUGAAGUCUAUCAACACCAGACAACAAUCGACACCAGCAAUUAAUUUAAUUCAAAAAUUCUAAAUUACUUUUUAUUUACUAAUGAAGUAAAUAAUAGCAGAAUUGACUGACAUAAUGACUUCAAAUAAAAAUUAAAGAACAUUAUUUAAGUGAAAAUACAUUUAUUUAUUAAGUAACUGGUUUUACACUACAAUUUAUGGUGACAUCAAAGACAUUGGUUAUGUAAUAAUUAAUUGUAAUAUUACAAUUGUUCUCACUAUUUUAAGUUAUUACAAGUAGAUUACAUAUGAAUAAACAAUUUGACAUAAAUAUUGUGUUUGAAUUUGCUUAAAAAGCUUUUUACACACAUUAGCUUUUGCUUUUAUUUCAAUAACUAACCAUUACAAAUCUAUACAAAUCAUUUUGUCCCAUUUCUAUGCAAGAGUUGAACUUUUAUUCAACAGUAAGUAAAGUUAAGGGAUAAGGUAAUUUUGACAAGAAUUAAUUUUGUUUAUAUUACUAAAAUAAACAACAAUUUUAACUUAAAAGCUUUCUUUUAUAAAUAAUAUUUAACGAGAUUCAAUAGUUUUAAAUUAAAUCCGUAACUAGGGAAAAAUACUCUAAUAGGAAAUGUAUAUCC